Crotalus tigris (Tiger rattlesnake) is the source of this 544-nucleotide long non-coding RNA. RefSeq lists it as uncharacterized. The transcript has 3 exons. The record is from RefSeq and is a predicted model, not a curated record. Lineage: Eukaryota; Metazoa; Chordata; Lepidosauria; Squamata; Viperidae.
AUCCCUGUAGAUUUUAUUCCAUUAGUCAUUGCUGACUACAGUGGGCGGUGCUCAUCUCCAUUUCAAGGCCACUGAGCUACCAUUGUCCAAAGACAUUUCCACAGUUAUGUGGCCAGCAUGAUGUCACAGAGCACUAUUAUCUUCCCACCAAAGUGGUACCUAUUUAUCUACUCACAUUUGCAUGCUUUCAAACUGCUAGGUUGGCAGGAGCUGGGCCGAGGACGGGAGCUCACCCCAUCACAUGGCACUCAGGCCUUGAAUCUAGGCUGUUGGCUUUCCAGCCAACAAACCCAAUGUCUUAACCAAUCAGCCACUUUGCCACCCUGAGAAGAAUUUUUAAAAAGAGUUCAUGUCCAGUUUACCCCUCUCUGUUGCACAUGGAAUGGGAUGUAGCAAAUCUAUGCAUCCUUGCUAACUCACUGACACCAUUGAGAUCUAUUCCCAGAAGUCUGCAGUGAAGUUCAAAUAGGGAAUGAUGAAAGCAGCAUUGUGCCAUCCAAUAUUCAAACUCUGUUUCUUUUGUACAUGUAUCAACAUGGUGCAC